UUAUGUUGCAGGUUGGGUUAUGUUGCAGGUUAUGUUGGAGGUUAUGUUGGAGGUUAUGUUGGAGGUUAGGUUAGCAGAGCUGCAUCUGCAUGAAGGAGCAUGUCCUCACAGCACAAACACCAGCGGCUUGUAAAAGUAUUCACACCCUUUUAACUUUUCCACAUAUUGUCGCGUUACAACCACAAACAACUUCUUAUGAAUUUUAUGUGAACACAACGCGGUGUACAAUUGUGAAGCAGAAACAAAAUUACACAUGAUUUUUUUUACUAAUAGCUGAAACGGGCCUUGUGCUAAAGUAUUCAGCCCCCUGAGUGAAUACUUUAUGGAUCCACCUUCUGCUGCAGUUACACGUCUUUCAGGUUUGUCUCUACCAGCUUUGAGCAUCUAGGGACUGAAACUUCUGCCCGUUCAGCUCCAGCUCAGUCAGAUCACAUGUAGAUUCUGGGUUGGGGUUGGGUCUGGACUUUGACUAGGCCGUUUUUACACAUGAAUAUGUUUUAAACGGUUGUAGCCCUGGCUCUAUGUUCAGGGUGGAGGGUGACUCCAGCAGGUUUUCCUCCCAGAAUGCCCUGCAUCUGGCUCCCUCCAUCAGCUCUGACCAUCUUCCCUGCUGGAGGGGAGCAGAGCGUGAUGCCACCAUGUCUGACGGUGCUAGUUCUCCACACAGCGUUACAUCCUGGUCUCUGACCACAGCUCCUCCCUCCUCAUGUUUGCUGUGUCUCCACCACGGUUCUGACUGCAAACAGGACAUUUUAUGGUUUCUCUUUUCUUGUCCCUCUUCCAUAAAGACCACACAUGUGGACGACGUGUCCCACACCUGAGCCGUGGGUCUCUGCAGUCCCUCCAGAGUCACCAUGUGUCUCUGAUGAGCGCUCUCCUCGUUCAGCCUGUAGGUUCAGGUGGACGGCUGCCCCUCUGUCCUUCUCCAGAACUCUGUGAGACGGUCAAAGCUUUUUCAGCCUGAGCUGCUUAAACAUCUCCAGAACUUUAUCUGCUGUGUGUCUGGACUCCAGGAUGCUGGUUCCUCCCCGAUGAUCUCUGAUCUCUGAAGCCCUCAGAGCGGCUGCAUCUGUGCUGAGAUCAGAUCCAUUCAUCGUUAGCAACCAUCAGCCUGGGUGUGAAUACUUUUACAAGCCACUGUGAUCUGUCCAGCAUGGAGGUGGAGGACUUCCUCUGCAGCCAGAGGACCCGGGCUCCCAGCAGGCGCUGAGUGGACCGUGAACUCAGAACCCAGACGUGUUCUGAGGUCCAGUCUGAGGAAUUCUGGCCAGCAGCUCAAGCUGGGUCGGUUCUAAGUGGCGUAAACACUGACGCCACAUGAAGGUUCCUUUAGAGAGAAGAGUGGACCCAAAGUCCUCCACAACCAUCUGAGACGUCUGACUGAAACUUCUGCUGCUGGAGGAGGUUCUGCUGGAUCUGCACAGCAAGGUUCUGUUUAAGAAAUGGUGCUGAGUCUGUGGUGUUCUACAGAUGAGUUGAGAAGCUGCGGUUACGUGAACUCCCUUCCUGACGGAACCCUGCAGCUCUGUGAUUUGGACCUGAGGAGUUCUGCAGGUCAGUGAUGGACCUCGGUGCCGUCAGCAGUCAGAGGAAGCUGCUGAGGUCCUGCAUGUGUGGAGAUCUCCAGCUGAUCCCGUCCAGGACUGAACCCAGUCCGUGUGGCUGGGAGCAAAGCAUCAUGGGAGGACGGAUGGCUGACCUCUGGGCUCUCUGCUUUUUGUCAGCGAGUGUAUUUCUAUUUCCACGCAGCUCCGCCUGCAGGCCAACUCCAGCAGUAAUCAGGAUUAUUUCAGGACUAAUUCUUUUAGCAGCUGGUGUUUUUAGUCAAAGAGGAGUCAGCAGACCAAAGGCGCGGCGCUCUGGUUGAGCUGCAGCAACGUUUCACACGGAUGCAGCCGCUUCUCUCUGCUGGUUCCUUCAGGUCUGGGGAAACUACCUUUGCCACAGACGGCAUCGGUGCCUUACUGUUUUCAGCUCUGUCACCGUGUCUUAACAUUCCUGAAAUGUACUUUUCUCCUGUAAUUAACGCUGACUUGGAUUUGUAAAAAUGUUUUUGAAUUUACAGCAGUAAGAAUUUCUAUGUGACGAUGUUAUUGAUUAAAAAAUUACAAAAAGAAAA
This is a long non-coding RNA of Fundulus heteroclitus (mummichog), 2119 nucleotides long. RefSeq lists it as uncharacterized. The record is from RefSeq and is a predicted model, not a curated record. The transcript has 2 exons. NCBI's taxonomy places the organism in Eukaryota, Metazoa, Chordata, Actinopteri, Cyprinodontiformes, Fundulidae.